AUGUAUAGCAUUAGCUAAUUAUAUUUAAAUAAAUAUAAUAUCGACUAUGUCGAAUAAAAUUCUGGGUAGUUUAUGAUGAUGACAUUUACUAUCUAUAUGUCUUGACCAAAUCACGUGCCAGCAGUCGCGGUAAGACGUGGAAGACUAGUGUUAUUCAUCUUAAAUAGGUUUAAAGGGUACCUAGACGGUAAAUCCAGCCAAAUAGGUACAGAUUUGCUAGAGUUUAAUAUGUAAGAAGGUAGUAUUUUUGGUGGAGAGAUGGAAUAUUUUUAUACCAAAAGGACUGAUAAAAGUGAAAGCAACCUUAAUGUAUUUUUAUAAUACAUUGAUCUAUGUAUAAACUGACGUUGAGGGACGAAGGCCUGGGGAGCGAUGAGGAUUAGAUACCCUAAUAGUCCAGGCAGAAAAUUAUGAAUGUCAUAAACUAGAUAUAUUUAGUUUAUAAAUGAAAGUGUAAGCAUUCCACCUUAAGAGUAAUGCGGCAAGGCAGGAACUGAAAUCAUUAGACCGUUUCUGAAACCAGUAGUGAAGUAUGUUAUUUAAUUCGAUGACCCACGAAAAACCUUACCACAAUUUGAAUAUUAUUUUACAAGAAAAAUAUAAUUUAAUAAAUAUUACAAGCGCUGCACGGCUGUCUUCAGUUAAUGUCGUGAGAUUUGGUUUGCUCCAUUAAAUUAACGUAAACCCUUGCUUUAUUUAGUUUUUAUAAUAAAGUUGUUCGUCUAAAUAUAGGACAAUGCUAAAUGGGAUUAAGA
Molecule: ribosomal RNA, 755 nt
Filed under: Thyrea sp. MCS-2023a
Lineage: Eukaryota; Fungi; Ascomycota; Lichinomycetes; Lichinales; Porocyphaceae
Description: SSU rRNA
Rfam family: Bacterial small subunit ribosomal RNA
Source: RNAcentral